UUAUAGCUCAAUAGGUAGAGCACCAGGUUGUGAUCCUGGGUGUCGCGGGUUCGAUUCCCGCUAG
This 64-nucleotide transfer RNA is filed under the name Corynebacterium matruchotii. It matches the Rfam family "tRNA", at positions 6 to 65 of the family's 71-position model. From Rfam's summary of the family: Transfer RNA (tRNA) molecules are approximately 80 nucleotides in length. The record is from RNAcentral. Lineage: Bacteria; Bacillati; Actinomycetota; Actinomycetes; Mycobacteriales; Corynebacteriaceae.